RNAcentral lists this ribosomal RNA (1345 nucleotides) under uncultured bacterium. Its description in RNAcentral is "bacterial SSU rRNA". It matches the Rfam family "Bacterial small subunit ribosomal RNA", at positions 28 to 1381 of the family's 1533-position model. The record is from RNAcentral.
GACGAACGUUGGCGGCGUGCUUACACAUGCAAGUCGAACGGAAAGGCCCUGCUUUUGUGGGGUGCUCGAGUGGCGAACGGGUGAGUAACACGUGAGUAACCUGCCCUUGACUUUGGGAUAACUUCAGGAAACUGGGGCUAAUACCGGAUAGGAGCUCCUGCUGCAUGGUGGGGGUUGGAAAGUUUCGGCGGUUGGGGAUGGACUCGCGGCUUAUCAGCUUGUUGGUGGGGUAGUGGCUUACCAAGGCCUUGACGGGUAGCCGGCCUGAGAGGGUGACCGGCCACAUUGGGACUGAGAUACGGCCCAGACUCCUACGGGAGGCAGCAGUGGGGAAUAUUGCACAAUGGGCGGAAGCCUGAUGCAGCAACGCCGCGUGCGGGAUGACGGCCUUCGGGUUGUAAACCGCUUUCGCCUGUGACGAAGCGUGAGUAACGGUAAUGGGUAAAGAAGCACCGGCUAACUACGUGCCAGCAGCCGCGGUGAUACGUAGGGUGCGAGCGUUGUCCGGAUUUAUUGGGCGUAAAGGGCUCGUAGGUGGUUGAUCGCGUCGGAAGUGUAAUCUUGGGGCUUAACCCUGAGCGUGCUUUCGAUACGGGUUGACUUGAGGAAGGUAGGGGAGAAUGGAAUUCCUGGUGGAGCGGUGGAAUGCGCAGAUAUCAGGAGGAACACCAGUGGCGAAGGCGGUUCUCUGGGCCUUUCCUGACGCUGAGGAGCGAAAGCGUGGGGAGCGAACAGGCUUAGAUACCCUGGUAGUCCACGCUGUAAACGGUGGGUACUAGGUGUGGGGUCCAUUCCACGGGUUCCGUGCCGUAGCUAACGCUUUAAGUACCCCGCCUGGGGAGUACGGCCGCAAGGCUAAAACUCAAAGGAAUUGACGGGGCCCCGCACAAGCGGCGGAGCAUGCGGAUUAAUUCGAUGCAACGCGUAGAACCUUACCUGGGUUUGACAUGGAUCGGGAGUGCUCAGAGAUGGGUGUGCCUCUUUUGGGGUCGGUUCACAGGUGGUGCAUGGCUGUCGUCAGCUCGCGUCGUGAGAUGUUGGGUUAAGUCCCGCAACGAGCGCAACCCUUGUUCACUGUUGCCAGCACGUUAUGGUGGGGACUCAGUGGAGACCGCCGGGGUCAACUCGGAGGAAGGUGGGGAUGACGUCAAGUCAUCAUGCCCCUUAUGUCCAGGGCUUCACGCAUGCUACAAUGGCUGGUACAGAGAGUGGCGAGCCUGUGAGGGUGAGCGAAUCUCGGAAAGCCGGUCUCAGUUCGGAUUGGGGUCUGCAACUCGACCUCAUGAAGUCGGAGUCGCUAGUAAUCGCAGAUCAGCAACGCUGCGGUGAAUACGUUCCCGGGGCU